CAAAGGCAUGGUCCUGACCUUAUUAUCAGCUCUAGCCCAACUUACACAUGCAAGUCUCCGCAGUCCCGUGAAUAUGCCCUCAAUCCCCUGCCCGGGGACGAGGAGCGGGCAUCAGGCACAAACUUUAGCCCAAGACGCCUAGCCAAGCCACACCCCCAAGGGAAUUCAGCAGUGAUAGACAUUAAGCCAUAAGUGAAAACUUGACUCAGUCAGGGUUAAGAGGGCCGGUAAAACUCGUGCCAGCCACCGCGGUUAAACGAGAGGCCCUAGUUGAUAUUAUCACGGCGUAAAGGGUGGUUAAGGAAGACAAAACAAUAAAGCCGAAUGGCCCCUUGGCCGUCAUACGCUUCUAGGUGUCCGAAGCCCAAUUUUACGAAAGUAGCUUUAAUAAAAUCCACCUGACCCCACGAAAGCUAAGAAACAAACUGGGAUUAGAUACCCCACUAUGCUCAGCUAUAAACCUAGACGUCCACCUACAAUUAGACGUCCGCCCGGGUACUACGAGCAUCAGCUUGAAACCCAAAGGACCUGACGGUGCCUUAGACCCCCCUAGAGGAGCCUGUUCUAGAACCGAUAACCCCCGUUAAACCUCACCACUUCUAGCCACCCCAGCCUAUAUACCGCCGUCGCCAGCUUACCCUGUGAAGGCAAUAAAAGUAAGCAAAAUGGGCACAACCCAGAACGUCAGGUCGAGGUGUAGCGUACGAAGUGGGAAGAAAUGGGCUACAUUUUCUACUUAUAGAACACUACGAACAUGCAACAUGAAAUAGUGCUUGAAGGAGGAUUUAGUAGUAAAAAGGAAGCAGAGUGUCCUUUUGAACCCGGCUCUAAGGCGCGUACACACCGCCCGUCACUCUCCCCUGUCAAUAUGCAAUAAAGAUUCAUAACACCAAAGCACUGACAAGGGGAGGCAAGUCGUAACAUGGUAAGUGUACCGGAAGGUGCACUUGGAUUAAACC
This 959-nucleotide non-coding RNA is filed under the name Gobio soldatovi (Soldatov's gudgeon). RNAcentral's name for it is "12S ribosomal RNA". It matches the Rfam family "Bacterial small subunit ribosomal RNA". Lineage: Eukaryota; Metazoa; Chordata; Actinopteri; Cypriniformes; Gobionidae. The record is from RNAcentral.